Molecule: ribosomal RNA, 373 nt
Filed under: uncultured organism
Description: bacterial SSU rRNA
Rfam family: Bacterial small subunit ribosomal RNA
Source: RNAcentral
CGGGGGGGGCAAGCGUUGUUCGGAAUUACUGGGCGUAAAGGGCUCGUAGGCGGCCAUCUAAGUCAGACGUGAAAUCCCUCGGCUUAACCGGGGAACUGCGUCUGAUACUGGAUGGCUUGAGUUUGGGAGAGGGAUGCGGAAUUCCAGGUGUAGCGGUGAAAUGCGUAGAUAUCUGGAGGAACACCGGUGGCGAGGGCGGCAUCCUGGACCAAUACUGACGCUGAGUGAGCGAAAGCCAGGGGAGCAAACGGGAUUAGAUACCCCGGUAGUCCUGGCCCUAAACGAUGAAUGCUUGGUGUGACGGGUAUCGAUCCCUGUCGUGCCGAAGCUAACGCAUUAAGCAUUCCGCUUGGGGAGUACGGUCGCAAGGCUG